RNAcentral lists this ribosomal RNA (482 nucleotides) under uncultured Saprospiraceae bacterium. Its description in RNAcentral is "bacterial SSU rRNA". It matches the Rfam family "Bacterial small subunit ribosomal RNA", at positions 28 to 505 of the family's 1533-position model. The record is from RNAcentral. Lineage: Bacteria; Pseudomonadati; Bacteroidota; Saprospiria; Saprospirales; Saprospiraceae.
GAUGAACGCUAGCGGCAGGCCUAAUACAUGCAAGUCGAACGGCAGCAUCACCUUCGGGUGGAUGGCGAGUGGCGCACGGGUGAGUAACGCGUACACGACCUACCCUAGACUGGGGGAUAAGCAUUGGAAACGGUGUCUAAUACCCCAUGGUUUUACGAAGCUGCAUGGCUUUGUGAAUAAAGUUUCGACGGUCUAGGAUGGGUGUGCGUCCCAUUAGCUAGUUGGUAAGGUAACGGCUUACCAAGGCGACGAUGGGUAGGGGGCGUGAGAGCGUGGCCCCCCACACGGGUACUGAGACACGGACCCGACUCCUACGGGAGGCAGCAGUAAGGAAUAUUGGACAAUGGAGGCAACUCUGAUCCAGCCAUGCCGCGUGCGGGAUGAAGGCCCUAUGGGUCGUAAACCGCUUUUACAAGGGAAGAAAGGCAUCUAUUUAUAGGUGUAUAUGACGGUACCUUGGGAAUAAGGACCGGCUAACUCCG